Molecule: long non-coding RNA, 1999 nt
Filed under: Mus musculus (house mouse)
Lineage: Eukaryota; Metazoa; Chordata; Mammalia; Rodentia; Muridae
Description: long non-coding RNA chr18:62455307-62457306
Source: RNAcentral
AGAUUGCUUUUGAGGAAAACCUUGGUCAAAUCCACGGAUCUGGGGACAUUUCUUCACCUCUUCAUCUUCGUGGCUAUCAUCGGCUGGCUACCAGCUACUAUCUAAUGGUUUAUAUGCAAAUCACUGAGCUAAAUGCAUCGUGUGUGUGGUCACAUUGAGUUCUUAAUCAUCUCCGGGCAGGCUUUACUGUUCCCAAUUUACUGAGAGAGAAAUAUAUUCAAAGAUAUUAACUGAUGCCAUUCUUGGAACUAAGCCAUUGGGGGACAUUCGGCAUCCAAACUUUGUCACCAAACAGGACAGAAUCUCUUCUUCAAAUGCUUUGCUGUCUAGCUCAACUCCCAACACAUGAUAUCUCAGCAUGAUUGAAGGCUAGAAGUCCUACAGUUUGAACAGCACUUGUUGUUGCAAAGUUUGGUUGAAUUUUACUUGCCUGUAUCUUAGCAUAAUAUAAGACGUGAAUCUUAUGGGCGGAACUGGUUCGCAAAUUCAGACUUAGUGGUUUGCAAAUUUGUGUUUCAAGUUUACAAACCAUUUUCUCGAAUUAAUUCUUAAUCAAAGGUGUAGGAAUACAAAACAAAACUGUGGACUAAAGGGGUUGUUAGUAUAGAGGUAUAUGUACAUAACCAAGGCCAUUGCUCCAUCACACCAAUGGCUAUCCCAUAAUGAGGCUUGAUAAAGUCCUAUAGAACUUACCCGAGAGAUGCUGCUGAACCCAGUGUGGUAUAGACAACAAACUAGGAGGCUCAGAGACCAUUAGGAGUCAACAGAGGAAUAAAGGAAGAUCAGAUCUCAGGUUCAGAACUCAGGGUCAAUUUUUCUCUAACUAAUUUGACAUCUUGCUAUUACAUUUCUAGUAGAGUCACACAUAACGUCCCAGUAGGUAGAGAUUUGGCAAAGAUGCGCAAAGACAAGAUGCCUUCUAGAAAGAUGUCUCGGUGUUCAUAGUUUCUCAUUUACUUCUGAUGGCUCAAGUCCUGCUCCAGGAUGCCACACCCAAGAGCAAACUACAACAAUUUACUCCAACCACCCUGGGAAGCCUCUGUAUUCAAUACAGUGUUUUCACAACUUUUCAAAAGGCUUGAACAGAAAGCUCAUCACACAUUUUGGCAAUCUUAGGAGAUUUUUUUCCCUUGACAACACUGUAAAUUAUAUGGGUUUUCUUACCUUUUUUUCCCCCCUUCUGGAGCAAUGUAUACUAGAGCUUAGAGAAAGAGACUCUGUUUUGCGUGUUAUCAUCUAGGAGGAUGAUAGGUCAUUCAGACAUGUAAGAUUUAAACUGCACAUGCCAGCUGGAUUGGGCUGUGACAGUAUAAGCUUAAACUGUGCAUUGUGACUUGCUGAAGGUGAAAAGAAACCCUGCUAGGCCUGACACACUCUUGUGUUCUUGCUCAUUUCUCACACUUCAGCCAUGUUCCUCUUCCUGUGGUGGGUGUAUAAGCUUGGGAAGGCUUCUCUAAAUCAUCGGUGGGCUUUCCUACCCCUGCCCACUUGGGCUACCUUGUCUGUUGUCUCAAUUUCCUUCUCGGCACAACGUUAAUUUUUCCUCCAAGCACAGUUCCAAUAUGAGCUCUUUAAACUUCCCUGAUUCCAGCUCCUGAUCUUUGAUCAAUAAUUAAUUACUUUUUUCCUGAGAGCUCUCUACCGGUUGCUUCUUCUUUCUUGUGGAAGCUCAGCAUAUCCUGGGAUCUUCUUUGUGCACCUUUUACGCCUUUACCCACUUGCCCUACUUCUCUUGAGCAAUUUCUAGGGGUUUAGGGGGUCUUUGGGGGGACAGUACACACUUAGUGAUGCUGGCUUGGUGAGGCUCUCUAGUUCUAACUGAGCCUAGUAAGUAGGCCUCAUCCUUUUGCCAAAAAGUGAAGACCAAAGUGAGGUUUUUUUGUUUGUUUUUUGUUUUUUGUUUUUUGUUUUUUGUUUUUUGUUUUAACUACAAAUCUCAACUUUAAACACAGGUUCUUCUAGAUACAUUUAGAUUUUCUUCUAUUUGAAAUGGUUCAGC